This 208-nucleotide long non-coding RNA is filed under the name Populus tremula. Its description in RNAcentral is "long non-coding RNA (PTRE_LNC001092)". The record is from RNAcentral. Lineage: Eukaryota; Viridiplantae; Streptophyta; Magnoliopsida; Malpighiales; Salicaceae.
UCCGAUCCAGUGAUUCAGCUUGAUCUGCGCAUUUCUGGGAAAUUAAAACCCAUGAUGAAAUGGUCGAGAUCUGUAGGAAAUAAUAUAUAGAAUGAGCAUUUCCAACUCUAAAUCUGGUCGUUUAUGGGUUACUAGCUAGGGCUCCUUUUUCCUUAUUUAUUUUUCUCUUCUUUGCGGCUCACUGGGCUAGAUAACGAUAAAGAUUCUC